RNAcentral lists this ribosomal RNA (381 nucleotides) under uncultured eukaryote. RNAcentral's name for it is "partial 18S ribosomal RNA". It matches the Rfam family "Eukaryotic small subunit ribosomal RNA", at positions 592 to 976 of the family's 1831-position model. The record is from RNAcentral.
CAAUAGCGUAUAUUAAAGCUGUUGCGGUUAAAAAGCUCGUAGUUGGAUUUCUGUCAAGGACAACUGGUCCGCCCCUCGGGUGAGCACAUAGUUUGGUCUUGGCACCUUGUUGGAAACUGUUGCUGCACUUGGUUGUGUGGCGCAGUGUCCAGCACUUUCACUUUGAGGAAAUUGGAGUGUUUCAAGCAGGCACAUGCCUUUGGACACAGUAGCAUGGAAUAAUUAGAUUGGGCUUUUGCUCCAACUUGUCGGUUUCUGGAGCUGAGGUGAGAAUUAAUGGGGAUUGUUGGGGGCAUCCGAAUUUAGCCGUCAGAGGUGAAAUUCUUGGAUCUGCUAAAGACGGACAACUGCGAAAGCGUUUGCCCAGGAUGUUUUCAUUGA